This is a long non-coding RNA of Orcinus orca (killer whale), 887 nucleotides long. RefSeq lists it as uncharacterized. Lineage: Eukaryota; Metazoa; Chordata; Mammalia; Artiodactyla; Delphinidae. The record is from RefSeq and is a predicted model, not a curated record. The transcript is spliced from 3 exons.
UUCAUAAUCUCCGGUUUACCAACUGGGACAUUGAUGGGGCAUUUUACAGCGCAGCCUUCGCUACCCUCGUGAAAUAUUAUAAUCACAUAAAAUGUUAUGCUGUAGGAUUGUAAGUAAUAUGGAGCCUGCUCUUGGCAUCUGUGCCUUAAUCAGCUCUUUUCAUUGCUUCACUGCCCAUUUACGAGUCCUCAGAAAGCUUCUUUCCACAUGAAUAGGGGUGUGGAGUUGAAUGAGCCACACCCGGAAAAGACAUGCUCAUUUCCAAUUCCAGUUCAACAACUCACUGACGGUGGUGUCAGGAAGCUCUCUUGACUUCCCUGUGCUCUUUUUUUGUUUGUUUGUUUUUGCGGUACGCGGGCCUCUCACUGUUGUGGUCUCUUCCGUUGCAGAGCACAGGCUCCAGACGCGCAGGCUCAGCGGCCAUGGCUCACGGGCCUAGCCGCUCCGCGGCAUGUGGGAUCUUGCCGGACCGGGGCACGAACCCGUGUCCCCUGCAUCGGCAGGCAGACUCUCAACCACUGCACCACCAGGGAAACCCCUUGUGCUCUUAUUUAAUCGGCAUUUCCUCAGACUCCAGAGCAAUCAUUUCCAUCAUUCAGCUUCCUCUGCUCGCAGGUUCCCCCGGAGAGUGCUUCCUCAAUAAAUCAUGUGCACAUGAAUCCUUAUCUCAGGCUCUGCUUCCAGGCAACCAGACCUAGGAUGGUGACCCUACCCACUGAUUCAGCUACUUCUAUCUUUGCUCUGGCUGUGCCCCAUCCUGGACUUCUCUGACGGCGAUACUUUGGGGGCCAGAAAGGUCCAGAAAGGUUCUGUAGCCACCAAAGUGGCAGAAAAGCAUCGUGUGUAAGGACUCAGUAAAUCAGUAACUGUUGCACCCCUGUUGGACU